GGUGAGUUUACGAAAACUUAGUGUGUGAAAUCCCAUAAUAGCAAUCAAGCAGAUAAUACACCAUUUGGGCCUAAGCCCUUUCAAUCUCAAUUAGGCCUUAGCCCUUAUCAGUAUCAAAAGUCUGAAUUACAACUAAUGAGCUUUAUAUUUUUAGCUGAAUACAUAAGCUAGCUGAAUGGUCACUAAGAUAACCAAAAGCUAGCUUUGUAUUCAACUUAAUUAAGCUGGAAACUUCCUUG
Molecule: long non-coding RNA, 239 nt
Filed under: Gossypium barbadense (sea-island cotton)
Lineage: Eukaryota; Viridiplantae; Streptophyta; Magnoliopsida; Malvales; Malvaceae
Description: long non-coding RNA (GBAR_LNC001336)
Source: RNAcentral